GAUGAACGCUGGCGGCGUGCCUAAUACAUGCAAGUCGAGCGAACAGACGAGGAGCUUGCUCCUCUGACGUUAGCGGCGGACGGGUGAGUAACACGUGGAUAACCUACCUAUAAGACUGGGAUAACUUCGGGAAACCGGAGCUAAUACCGGAUAAUAUAUUGAAUCGCAUGGUUCAAUAGUGAAAGACGGUUUUGCUGUCACUUAUAGAUGGAUCCGCGCCGCAUUAGCUAGUUGGUAAGGUAACGGCUUACCAAGGCAACGAUGCGUAGCCGACCUGAGAGGGUGAUCGGCCACACUGGAACUGAGACACGGUCCAGACUCCUACGGGAAGCAGCAGUAGGGAAUCUUCCGCAAUGGGCGAAAGCCUGACGGAGCAACGCCGCGUGAGUGAUGAAGGUCUUCGGAUCGUAAAACUCUGUUAUUAGGGAAGAACAAAUGUGUAAGUAACUAUGCACGUCUUGACGGUACCUAAUCAGAAAGCCACGGCUAACUACGUG
RNAcentral lists this ribosomal RNA (497 nucleotides) under uncultured bacterium. Its description in RNAcentral is "partial 16S ribosomal RNA". It matches the Rfam family "Bacterial small subunit ribosomal RNA", at positions 28 to 507 of the family's 1533-position model. The record is from RNAcentral.